GCUGGCAGUCGGACACGCUACGCCAGGAAAUAAUAAAGCCUCAUAUUAGUAUUUCGUUUGGUCUCAGCAUUGAUAUUUUUGAUACUUUUGUGCUUUGUAGAUACGAAAAUGUCAACCAAAAAAGAAGAGACCACCCAGAGACAAAAGAAAAUGCUGGCAACUGAAACUGAGUGUCCAAACCCCGGGAGGGUUCAUUUAAAUGGAUGCACUUGGGAAAUUGCUGCCCCUCUCUUCAUGCCGCCCUAGGCUGCUGCCUAUGUCGCCUACAGGAAGGACCGGCAAUCCCGCCCUCCAAACCCCCCCCAACCAACAGCGGAUCUAGGCACGGAUGAACCGGGCAGCCGCCCGGGGCAGCCGCCCGGUUAAUCCGAACACAUCCUGGUAGUUCAUAUAUGCAGGGGUCUCUAAUGGAGUUACUGUGCUGUGUUUCCUAUCGUGUUGUUGUGGUUUCUCUGUGUGUAGAUGUAGAACCUGUCAUCAAGCUGCAUGUUGGUUUGGUUCUGACCUCAACUGUAUCUGUUUCAUUUUCAAUUUCAUAAUCCUGUUCCCUAAAAGAGGCCUUAUGUCUGUUACCACAAUGCUAUUUUGAGCUCUUAAUUCACUUGUCUGGUCAAAUGGUUACCAAACUUCUAUUGCAUUUUCAAAAACAGCCAUUGAUAUCACACCGGGAAUACGUUUAAGGAUACGUGAGUAUGGUUAAGCAUAUAGAUGUGUAUGAUUAAGGGUAUAGAUAUGUAUGAUUAAGGAUAUGUGUUUGUAUGGUUAAAGGUAUGUGAUUAAUAUGUGUCCAUGUUAUUACCUGAUACUAGUGUUAGUAGGGUGAAGAAGGGAGUUCAGUUCAGCUGUCUGCUCUCAGCAGCAUCUACAGUGAUUUGCUGUCACAUUAAAACAUGACGUUUUAUGUAACUAACAUGUAUACAUCUGUAAUAUAAAUAAACAAAUAUACGCGUGCUAAAAUGACAGACUAGUGUGUUCUUGUUAAACACACAAAGUGUAUUCAUGAUAUCACCACUUAUGCCUAGUGAUUUAUUUAACUUGACAGGAAUUAGAGAUAAUAGUAUGUGUGAUAUCAAAUAAAGAGUUGAUAUCCCACAAACAGUGUGCAUCCUGGUUUAGUGGAGGACAUCUAUAGCUUCAUCUCUGGUCAGAAGUUCACUG
Molecule: long non-coding RNA, 1158 nt
Organism: Osmerus eperlanus (European smelt)
Lineage: Eukaryota; Metazoa; Chordata; Actinopteri; Osmeriformes; Osmeridae
Exons: 3
Source: RefSeq, a predicted model, not a curated record